RNAcentral lists this long non-coding RNA (658 nucleotides) under Mus spicilegus (steppe mouse). Its description in RNAcentral is "lncRNA (ENSMSIG00000011719.1)". Lineage: Eukaryota; Metazoa; Chordata; Mammalia; Rodentia; Muridae. The record is from RNAcentral.
AUUUAGUCUGAUGUAAUUUAAAGCAUGAGACUGAUAACUUUUAAAAAAUGUUUGUUCUAGAUACAGAAACUUGAGAAAAAUGAUGGGGUACUGUGUACCUUUUAUCCUGAAAUGACAAGACUUUAAUUUCUGAUUCCAUGGUUAAUAUUUUCCCUGUGUGUACCAACAGCUGUCUUCCCAGCGAUGAGGAGGAAGCCCAUUGAGACCUCCCAGGUCCAUUUGCUUUUAUCUGCCCUGUGAUCUGUCAGCAUCCUCCUUGCUCCUCAACGGGAGAAGAUUUGUCUUGGACACCAUGAUGGACCUAUAAGAAGAAGAUACAGCAGUGUCCUCAGAACCCUUCCUAAAAAGGCAAUCAAAAGCCCAACUCAGCUGGAAUGGAAAUGGAAAUGCAAAGGUCAGUUUUAGGACAGUUAGGCUGUUCCCCUUCUAGUGGAUGCUAGUGCAAAGCGAGUUCUUUAAAUUAUGUGGAUGAGUUUGAAAUGUCAUACAGUAGAUUGAGCACGAAGGAGAAGUGUUCAGAUACUGUGCAAGCUGAUAGCUAGCCUGUGUUGAAUGUUCAUUCCUCUAGACUGCCCAGCCGGAGGACAGACCACGUUUCCCCCACAGUCUCCUGGAAAGGGACCCACACAGUAGUAGGACCCUUGCCACAGAAGAAGUA